CCUACGGGAGGCAGCAGUGGGGAAUAUUGCACAAUGGAGGAAACUCUGAUGCAGCGACGCCGCGUGAGGGAAGAAGGUCUUCGGAUUGUAAACCUCUGUUGUCAGGGACGAUAAUGACGGUACCUGACGAGGAAGCCACGGCUAACUACGUGCCAGCAGCCGCGGUAAAACGUAGGUGGCAAGCGUUGUCCGGAAUUACUGGGUGUAAAGGGAGCGCAGGCGGAUUUGCAAGUUGGAAGUGAAACUCAUGGGCUCAACCCAUGAACUGCUUUCAAAACUGCAGAUCUUGAGUGGUGUAGAGGUAGGCGGAAUUCCCGGUGUAGCGGUGGAAUGCGUAGAUAUCGGGAGGAACACCAGUGGCGAAGGCGGCCUACUGGGCACUAACUGACGCUGAGGCUCGAAAGCAUGGGUAGCAAACAGGAUU
Molecule: ribosomal RNA, 424 nt
Filed under: uncultured Parabacteroides sp.
Lineage: Bacteria; Pseudomonadati; Bacteroidota; Bacteroidia; Bacteroidales; Tannerellaceae
Description: bacterial SSU rRNA
Rfam family: Bacterial small subunit ribosomal RNA
Source: RNAcentral